GUAGUUAGCCGGGGCUUUCUUACAGGGUACCGUCACUUCUUCGUCCCCUGCGACAGAGGUUUACAAUCCGAAAACCUUCUUCCCUCACGCGGCGUUGCUGGGUCAGGCUUGCGCCCAUUGCCCAAUAUUCCCCACUGCUGCCUCCCGUAGGAGUCUGGACCGUGUCUCAGUUCCAGUGUGGCCGAUCAGCCUCUCAGCUCGGCUACCCAUCGUCGGCUUGGUGGGCUGUUAUCUCACCAACUACCUAAUGGGACGCGAACCCCUCUAAAAGCGAUAAAUCUUUGACCUCUUCCCGAUGCCGGGUUGUGGUCUUAUGCGGUAUUAGCAGUUGUUUCCACCUGUUAUUCCCCACUCUUAGGCAGGUUGUUCACGCGUUACUCACCCGUGCGCCACUAGAAUUAUCAAUUCCAUCCGAAAACUUCCUUAAUAAUCCCCGUUCGACUUGCAUGUGUUAGGCACGCCGCCAGCGUUCGUCCUGAGCCAGAAUCGAACCCUGA
RNAcentral lists this ribosomal RNA (497 nucleotides) under uncultured bacterium. RNAcentral describes it as "partial 16S ribosomal RNA". The record is from RNAcentral.